UGGGGAAUUUUGGACAAUGGGCGCAAGCCUGAUCCAGCAAUGCCGCGUGCAGGAUGAAGGCCUUCGGGUUGUAAACUGCUUUUGUACGGAGCGAAAAGGUCUGCCCUAAUACGGUGGGCUCAUGACGGUACCGUAAGAAUAAGCACCGGCUAACUACGUGCCAGCAGCCGCGGUAAUACGUAGGGUGCGAGCGUUAAUCGGAAUUACUGGGCGUAAAGCGUGCGCAGGCGGUUAUAUAAGACAGAGGUGAAAUCCCCGGGCUCAACCUGGGAACUGCCUUUGUGACUGCAUAGCUAGAGUACGGUAGAGGGGGAUGGAAUUCCGCGUGUAGCAGUGAAAUGCGUAGAUAUGCGGAGGAACACCGAUGGCGAAGGCAAUCCCCUGGACCUGUACUGACGCUCAUGUACGAAAGCGUGGGGAGCAAACA
Molecule: ribosomal RNA, 427 nt
Filed under: uncultured bacterium
Lineage: Bacteria
Description: bacterial SSU rRNA
Rfam family: Bacterial small subunit ribosomal RNA
Source: RNAcentral